Molecule: long non-coding RNA, 259 nt
Filed under: Populus tremula
Lineage: Eukaryota; Viridiplantae; Streptophyta; Magnoliopsida; Malpighiales; Salicaceae
Description: long non-coding RNA (PTRE_LNC002905)
Source: RNAcentral
CGCGGCUGAUUGAGAUCGAAUGUAAAUAGCAUCGUUGGAGGACACGGAGAAGAAGAGAAAAAUAAAGGCAAACGAGGUACACUACUGAACAUAUGACUGCUUCAGUUGAGUAUGUCUGUGAGGUAUACCGAGUAAUUAGAGCAGCAAUGCUUACACAGAAUCUGGACGUGAAAAUGCUGCAUUUACUCUAUAAACUUCCUUCGGGGUAUCGAACAAUGUUGCUUGUAGAGGCUAGAGCUAGCCUAGGCGAGCCAGUGAG